UUUUUCAAAUUGACCUGAUAU
This 21-nucleotide unclassified non-coding RNA is filed under the name Pythium insidiosum. RNAcentral's name for it is "partial large subunit ribosomal RNA". Lineage: Eukaryota; Oomycota; Peronosporomycetes; Pythiales; Pythiaceae. The record is from RNAcentral.